Molecule: long non-coding RNA, 275 nt
Filed under: Ananas comosus (pineapple)
Lineage: Eukaryota; Viridiplantae; Streptophyta; Magnoliopsida; Poales; Bromeliaceae
Description: long non-coding RNA (ACOM_LNC016638)
Source: RNAcentral
ACAAGAGGAGAAACAGUGCAAUAAGAGGAGAAACAGUAUAAAUAUCUCUUAAAUGAAUGCAGUUUAAGAUAAAAAAUAGCGUAACAGGAAGAGAAAUGGUGCAACAAGAGAAGAAAUAGUGCAACAAGAGGAGAAACAGUUAAAGAGCACUUUUACAUACAUAAAGCGCGGCUGAAUAACCCAUCAUUAUCAAAAUGUUAGCUCCAAAGAGACAUGGACUUAACUAAGACUUAAAUUGAAAUCUAUUGCACAAAAUUGAACAAUUAAAUAGCCUC